GAUGAACGCUGGCGGCGUGCCUAAUACAUGCAAGUCGAACGCUGGAAAUCUAGCUUGCUAGCUUGAAGGAGUGGCGAACGGGUGAGUAAUACAUAAGCAACCUACCCACGAAGACUGGGAUAAUCUCUGGAAACGGGGACUAAUACCGGAUAGGUAAUCGGAAGGCAUCUUCUGAUUAUUAAAGGUUAAAAACACUGGUGGAUGGGCUUAUGGCGCAUUAGUUAGUUGGUGAGGUAACGGCCCACCAAGACGAUGAUGCGUAGCCGGCCUGAGAGGGUGAACGGCCACAUUGGGACUGAGACACGGCCCAGACUCCUACGGGAGGCAGCAGUAGGGAAGUUUCGGCAAUGGGGGAAACCCUGACCGAGCAACGCCGCGUGAGUGAUGACGGCCUUCGGGUUGUAAAGCUCUGUUGUAAGGGAAGAACGGUAGAUAGAGAAUAUCUAAAUGACGGUACCUUACCAGAAAGCCACGGCUAACUACGUG
RNAcentral lists this ribosomal RNA (486 nucleotides) under uncultured bacterium. RNAcentral describes it as "partial 16S ribosomal RNA". It matches the Rfam family "Bacterial small subunit ribosomal RNA", at positions 28 to 507 of the family's 1533-position model. The record is from RNAcentral.